UGAGGAAUAUUGGUCAAUGGACGAGAGUCUGAACCAGCCAAGUAGCGUGCAGGAAGACGGCCCUCCGGGUUGUAAACUGCUUUUAGUUGGGAAUAAAGUUCGGGACGUGUCCCGAUUUGUAUGUACCAUCAGAAAAAGGACCGGCUAAUUCCGUGCCAGCAGCCGCGGUAAUACGGAAGGUCCGGGCGUUAUCCGGAUUUAUUGGGUUUAAAGGGAGCGCAGGCGGGCUUUUAAGUCAGUUGUGAAAUACGGCGGCUCAACCGUCGGACUGCAGUUGAAACUGGAAGUCUUGAGUUCACACAGGGAUGCCGGAAUUCAUGGUGUAGCGGUGAAAUGCUCAGAUAUCAUGAAGAACUCCGAUUGCGAAGGCAGCUCACGGGAGCGCAACUGACGCUGA
RNAcentral lists this ribosomal RNA (397 nucleotides) under uncultured Prevotellaceae bacterium. Its description in RNAcentral is "bacterial SSU rRNA". It matches the Rfam family "Bacterial small subunit ribosomal RNA", at positions 355 to 749 of the family's 1533-position model. Lineage: Bacteria; Pseudomonadati; Bacteroidota; Bacteroidia; Bacteroidales; Prevotellaceae. The record is from RNAcentral.